GGCGGUUGUAGUUCAGUGGUAGAAUGCGAGACUGUGGCUCUUGAGACGAGGGUUCGAUUCCCUCCUCCCGCUU
Molecule: transfer RNA, 73 nt
Filed under: uncultured archaeon
Lineage: Archaea
Description: tRNA-His(gtg)
Rfam family: tRNA
About the family: Transfer RNA (tRNA) molecules are approximately 80 nucleotides in length. Their secondary structure includes four short double-helical elements and three loops (D, anti-codon, and T loops).
Source: RNAcentral